CUUUAUGUUUACUCGAUUUGAAUUCGGUGUAAAUUAGAAAACUUCAAUUGGGUCAACUCGAAAUUUUUUAACUUGGUCCAAAUGUAAAACCCAUAAGGGUAAAACUAUCAAAUUGUUUCAAGAAAGAAAGAAAGAAAUUAAGAAGUACGAUGUUUUGGGAUAUUUUACAAUUAUGGGGACGCAAUAGGACAUUAGAGUAAACUAUAGGGAUGAAAAUGGAGUUUACAAGGAUAAACGAGUCUUCUAACGCCAGGGAGGUGUGUGCCCAUUUUGUAUUUCUAGUUGUCUAUGUGAUAAAUUAUCAAACCUCAUGGAGGUGAGUGAUAACAUCCCUUCUAGCGAUAGAAGAAGAAAAAAUAAAAUAACCUUUCAAAUUUUUAAGUCUCUAUCUAUAGUAUCCCCGUGAGCUUUUAGCCAUCCAGCUUGCACCAGAAAUUAUUAAGAAAAAAUUCCGGGUAACCUUAAAUAUUUUUUGUGUUUUUGUUAUUGUCUUUGUGUUUCAAUAAAUAUAAUAAUGUUUUCACUUUCUCCUAAGAAAAAAAUUAUUUGGUAACAAUAACCAAUCUCAUGUCUAUCCAAAUAGACAAUGUGUGUGACGUACAAAAUAAGAUAGGGUAUUAAUAUAUGCAAAAGAAUUUUGGUAUCAUUAUAAAUGUCGUACCCAUAAGACAUAAAAUUUAUAUAAUAUUAAGAGCCAAUUU
RNAcentral lists this long non-coding RNA (701 nucleotides) under Citrus x clementina. Its description in RNAcentral is "Citrus clementina (C. clementina) long non-coding RNA (CCLE_LNC004358)". Lineage: Eukaryota; Viridiplantae; Streptophyta; Magnoliopsida; Sapindales; Rutaceae. The record is from RNAcentral.